AUUGAACGCUGGCGGCAGGCCUAACACAUGCAAGUCGAGCGCGAAAGGCUUUCGGGCUGAGUAGAGCGGCGGACGGGUGAGUAACGCGUAGGAAUCUACCUGGUAGUGGGGGACAACUUGGGGAAACUCAAGCUAAUACCGCAUACGCCCCAAGGGGGAAAGCGGGGGACCUUCGGGCCUCGCGCUAUCAGAUGAGCCUGCGUAGGAUUAGCUAGUUGGUGAGGUAAAGGCUCACCAAGGCGACGAUCCUUAGCUGGUCUGAGAGGAUGAUCAGCCACACUGGGACUGAGACACGGCCCAGACUCCUACGGGAGGCAGCAGUGGGGAAUAUUGCGCAAUGGGGGCAACCCUGACGCAGCCAUGCCGCGUGUGUGAAGAAGGCC
This 383-nucleotide ribosomal RNA is filed under the name uncultured bacterium. Its description in RNAcentral is "bacterial SSU rRNA". It matches the Rfam family "Bacterial small subunit ribosomal RNA", at positions 29 to 416 of the family's 1533-position model. The record is from RNAcentral.